CCUACGGGAGGCAGCAGUGGGGAAUCUUGGACAAUGGGGGGAACCCUGAUCCAGCGACGCCGCGUGAGUGAAGAAGUAUUUCGGUAUGUAAAGCUCUAUCAGCAGGGAAGAAAGAAAUGACGGUACCUGACUAAGAAUCCGCGGCUAACUACGUGCCAGCAGCCGCCGUAAUACGUAGGGGGCAAGCGUUAUCCGGAUUUACUGGGUGUAAAGGGAGGGUAGAAGGUGGUGCAAGUCUGAAGUGAAAGGCUGGGGGCCAACCCCAGGAUUGCUUUGGAAACUGUAUGGCUGGAGUGCAGGAGAGGUAAGUGGAAUUCCUAGUGUAGCGGUGAAAGGCGUAGAUAUUAGGAGGAACACCAGUGGCGAAGGCGGCUUACUGGACUGUAACUGACGUUGAGGCUCGAAAGCGUGGGGAGCAAACAGGAUUAGAUACCCCAGUAGUC
This 443-nucleotide ribosomal RNA is filed under the name uncultured bacterium. Its description in RNAcentral is "partial 16S ribosomal RNA". It matches the Rfam family "Bacterial small subunit ribosomal RNA", at positions 338 to 795 of the family's 1533-position model. The record is from RNAcentral.